AAUUAUUCAGCGCUCAAGAGUUUAAAAUACAAACAGAAAAGUGUCUUUUCUGCUGUUUUAACACAGAUUGGCAUUGCACACACAGGUGCGGCAGUGGCCGAAAGCCGUUGCUGCUGCUGCUGCUCCAUUGACUAUAUAGUUUACACAGUACCGUCUUCCUAUUUUUCUUCUCUAUCUGAGAUUCUGACAGAAAGAGGAGGGCUAACAUGAAAAAUAUCAUAAAAAGAAUCCUGUUGGAAUCUUACAAUGUGUGAAGCUGCAUAAUUCCCAGUCUGUGCACCUCUAGGAGUAAAAACCAUUGACUUGGACAGAUUGUUGUCAAAUGUGAGUGAGUGUGUCAGACUUUAGUCGUCCUAAAGUCAUCUAGUGCAUGGGAGGCAUAAUCUACAAGUCUUUGGACUUAUACACACAUCCAGACAAUAGCAUAAAAUAAUAUGCAACACUUUUCCUAUUAUACUAAUUUAAGGCAAAAUGUUUCAACGCUUCAUUUCUGUUUUUGCCCACCAUCUUCAGUGAAGGGACUUCGUACAGAAUGGACACAAUCUUCAGUGAAAAGACUGGGACACAGAAGAUUGUUCUGAAAAGGAGGAUCUUAUAGCAGCCUCAGAUCCUAUCAGGGGAAAUGGCAGCAGCCAGGAUUAGGAAGAAUGGAGAGAAAGAAAAGAGCGAAGAGAGAGUCAGCUACUUCAUAUCUGGUAUCAUUUUCAUCAAACAUCUUUGGAGAUACCUUCCAAAUGGAGAGUUCCAUCUGCUUUAAGCCUGGGGUCAUUUUCUUCAAAGUACACAAGGAAUCAUUUUUAUUUCAAAUACAAGAUUCAGUCUUCCAGAGGUAAAACGGACAUCAGAACAUCACAAAACAGCAAUACAAAAGACAUCACAAUUAAAAGUCAGAAAAUAGAUAAAAGUCAUAAAAACGUCAUAAAAACAUUUUGGGGAAUACUUGCUAGAUGAGGAGAUCCACCUGCUUAAAAUCUGGAGCCAUUUUUAUGACACAUGUUGAAUGUUAUGUCCAUUUCAACAAGUUUCAAACAACAGAAAAUGAAAAUGAAUAAACUUGUCAUAAAAAAUGGACACAAAGACAACUCCGAAGCUACUGGAACAGUAGAGAAGCAAAGAAGAAUUGUGAUCGAAUUAAAUCUACAGGAAUCUCCCGAUCAAACAGUAAAAGUGCGAUAUUCAGUUGUCGUACCUUCCAUAUUUGAAAUGGGUUUCUUACGUUAUGACGUACAGUGCGUGCGCCGUAGUAUAUAAAGGAUUGCACGAGAGUACAACAUCCUUUCUCUUUUAAAUACAACAGACAACAGUGUUUUUUUAAACUGUGCAUCAGGAACCUGAAUCGGUGGCUGGAGUGUUUGAGAAGAUGAUUUUUUACCUUCUCUUGCUGAUUUCUUCUCAUUACAUAGGUAUGGUUUGAUUUUUGCAAUGCAGAGUGACUAGAAUUAUACUGAAACCUUAUAUUUGAUAUUUGUCCACUUCAGUCAAAUUAAAUAUUUAUUUCAAUACUGAGUCCAUUCUCUGAUUCAGAGUAAAAGAGGCUUGCAACAUGUUAUGCUCAAAAACACAGGAAAGAACAUAUUUAAUUCAAAUAAAAUUGUUGAGAAAACAUUUUUUGGAACAGUAAUG
Molecule: long non-coding RNA, 1623 nt
Organism: Anguilla anguilla (European eel)
Lineage: Eukaryota; Metazoa; Chordata; Actinopteri; Anguilliformes; Anguillidae
Exons: 3
Source: RefSeq, a predicted model, not a curated record